Molecule: long non-coding RNA, 885 nt
Filed under: Oryctolagus cuniculus (rabbit)
Lineage: Eukaryota; Metazoa; Chordata; Mammalia; Lagomorpha; Leporidae
Description: lncRNA (ENSOCUG00000037700.1)
Source: RNAcentral
CUUGGAGUAAGGACCUGGGUUUCCAAGGCCCCCGCCCCGAAACCCCCCGGCCGCAACCAACCCCCCCGCUUUAAGGCCCCCCCCCCCUGGUUGGAGCCCCCCCCCUGGAUGGGGGAUGGGACCUCAGGCCGAAGCCCGCCCUGCCCCGGAGGCCUGUUCCUCGGGAGGAGGGCCGAGAACUUGCCCCUGGCGUCAGUGGGAACCGGGGAGUGUCUCAGCAGCGGAGGGAGUAUUCCCAGCUGGCCUUGAAGAGACGAGCCUGGCAAAGGACACAGAAAGCUUGAUCGGCCUGGCCCCCCACCCUGUACCAAGCCCCGGGGGGCUCCUGGCCCCGCCGUGCCCUCUCCCUGCCAGCCCUUCCCUCUCUGCCUGGACUGCAUUCGUCCCCUUGGCUUCUUCCCAUCCCCGGGGUGUGACCUUGGGCUGAGCGUGCUCACUGGGCUGACGGUGUCUGUGCACCCAGGAGGAACCAGGCCUGGCCCCCUUGAAAGCUUUGUGCCAACAGAGAGGUUCCCGUCCAGACCCAGGAGGGCGGAAGGAGAGACUGGGCCUGGGUGCCGAGGCCGGAAAGACACCUGCCUGCAGAGCCGGGCGAGGGCCACGGGUGUCGGAAGACUCUGUGCUCCCGCAGCACCGCCCAGACAGCCCGGCCUCGGCUCCUGACUCUCCACAACCGCGAUGGAUGUUUGCAGGAACCCAGCCAGCGUCUGCCUCCCCGCACUUGAUGUCCACUGCACCUGCUUGCACUUAACCUUCGGAGAAGACCCUUCAAGUGGAGGACACACUCAGGAGCCACGCCCAGCUCUGCCUGAGAAGCCCGGCUGGCCUCACUCAGCCUGAGGCUGGCCUCCUAUGCAGCCGCUUUCACGCCGAGACCCCGAGGGA